Bufo gargarizans (Asiatic toad) is the source of this 596-nucleotide long non-coding RNA. RefSeq lists it as uncharacterized. NCBI's taxonomy places the organism in Eukaryota, Metazoa, Chordata, Amphibia, Anura, Bufonidae. The transcript is spliced from 3 exons. The record is from RefSeq and is a predicted model, not a curated record.
AUGUCAUCGAAGGUCCUUCAGCUAUGGAGUGUAGACACAAACCGGCAGCAGAUUCGCAAUUCUCACAUUGUGACAGAACCUCUCCAGUAAAUGGACUACUCCCUAGAAUGAAAUAGCAGAAAGACAGGCGCGGUAUAUAAAGAGAUUACAGCCUCCGACUAAACACAGGAACCAUCUCCAGCGAGAAGACGACAUGCAGGCCCAUCACAGAGGAACAUCUACUGAGCGUCUCCACUCACAGGGGAACCUGAGCACUCAGCAGCAGCCACAUCGCGGGUCAUUUACAUCUGGAGGAGACCAGGGAAUGAGCAGAAGAUCUGAAGAUGGUGGAAAGUGGUAUAAAGAACCACAAGGCGGACAUUCUGCUUAUCUAAACCGCGAUCUCCCAGCGUCUCCCGGUCAGCGGGUCUGCGCAGCGACGACAGAGACACCAAUGUACCUGUAUUAUAAAUCAGUGGUAAUGAGCGAUCAGCAGCAGGACAAGAAAACGGAUGUCAUGAUCCAAGGUGGAGGGGGUGUAAUAAAUGAUAUAUUGUGUAAGCUUAACCCAAACUGCAAGCCUUAGGUAUAGAGGCUGCCCGCUAUAUACCUGUCUG